This 132-nucleotide small nucleolar RNA is filed under the name Nannospalax galili (Upper Galilee mountains blind mole rat). Its description in RNAcentral is "Small nucleolar RNA SNORA51 (ENSNGAG00000004033.1)". It matches the Rfam family "Small nucleolar RNA SNORA51". Rfam says of the family: ACA51 is a member of the H/ACA class of snoRNA that guide the sites of modification of uridines to pseudouridines. The record is from Rfam by way of RNAcentral. Lineage: Eukaryota; Metazoa; Chordata; Mammalia; Rodentia; Spalacidae.
GGCCUCCUGGUUCUUACCACAGGCUGUGUUUUACACUUACUGUAUAGAAAGAGGAGGCAGAGCAAACCUGCCCUACGUGCACCCCAGCCCAGGCCACCGUGCCUGGUCUCUAUUGUAAAUGGGGAGACGUGU